RNAcentral lists this ribosomal RNA (497 nucleotides) under uncultured bacterium. RNAcentral describes it as "partial 16S ribosomal RNA". It matches the Rfam family "Bacterial small subunit ribosomal RNA", at positions 28 to 507 of the family's 1533-position model. The record is from RNAcentral.
GAUGAACGCUGGCGGCGUGCCUAAUACAUGCAAGUCGAGCGAACAGACGAGGAUCUUGCUCCUCUGACGUUAGCGGCGGACGGGUGAGUAACACGUGGAUAACCUACCUAUAAGACUGGGAUAACUUCGGGAAACCGGAGCUAAUACCGGAUAAUAUAUUGAACCGCAUGGUUCAAUAGUGAAUGACGGUUUUGCGGUCACUUAUCGAUGGAUCCGCGCCGCAUUAGCUAGUUGGUAACGUAACGGCUUACCAAGGCAACGAUGCGUAGCCGACCUGAGAGCGUGUAGGGCGCCACUGGAGCUGAGACACGGCCCAGACUCCGACGGGCGGCAGCAGUAGCGAAUCUUCCGCAAUGGGCGAAAGCCUGACGGAGCAACGCCGCGUGAGUGCUGAAGGUCUUCGGAUCGUAAAACUCUGUUAUUAGGGAAGAACAAAUGUGUAAGUAACUAUGCACGUCUUGACGGUACCUAAUCAGAAAGCCACGGCUAACUACGUG